Molecule: transfer RNA, 69 nt
Filed under: Burkholderia pseudomallei
Lineage: Bacteria; Pseudomonadati; Pseudomonadota; Betaproteobacteria; Burkholderiales; Burkholderiaceae
Description: tRNA-Arg
Source: RNAcentral
GCGCAAUUCGAGUUGAGAGCUGCCCUCCGAAGGCAGGGGUUGCUGGUUCGAUCCCAGCCGGGCGCGCCA